Molecule: ribosomal RNA, 250 nt
Filed under: uncultured bacterium
Lineage: Bacteria
Description: partial 16S ribosomal RNA
Rfam family: Bacterial small subunit ribosomal RNA
Source: RNAcentral
CACGUAGGGGCCAAGCGUUGUCCGGAUUUAUUGGGCGUAAAGAGCUCGUAGGCGGUUCGACAAGUCGGGUGUGAAAACUCCGGGCUCAACCCGGAGACGCCACCCGAUACUGUCGUGACUCGAGUCCGGUAGGGGAGUGGGGAAUUCCUGGUGUAGCGGUGAAAUGCGCAGAUAUCAGGAGGAACACCGGUGGCGAAGGCGCCACUCUGGGCCGGUACUGACGCUGAGGAGCGAAAGCGUGGGUAGCAAA